RNAcentral lists this ribosomal RNA (734 nucleotides) under uncultured bacterium. RNAcentral's name for it is "bacterial SSU rRNA". It matches the Rfam family "Bacterial small subunit ribosomal RNA", at positions 31 to 757 of the family's 1533-position model. The record is from RNAcentral.
GAACGCUGGCGGCAGGCUUAACACAUGCAAGUCGAGCGGAAACGAAGGUAGCUUGCUACCAGACGUCGAGCGGCGGACGGGUGAGUAAUGCUUAGGAAUCUACCGAGUAGUGGGGGAUAGCCAUUGGAAACGAUGAUUAAUACCGCAUAUAUCCUACGGGGGAAAGCAGGGGACCUUCGGGCCUUGCGCUAUUCGAUGAGCCUGAGUGAGAUUAGCUAGUUGGUGGGGUAAAGGCCUACCAAGGCGACGAUCUCUAGCUGGUCUGAGAGGAUGAUCAGCCACACUGGGACUGAGACACGGCCCAGACUCCUACGGGAGGCAGCAGUGGGGAAUAUUGCACAAUGGACGAAAGUCUGAUGCAGCCAUGCCGCGUGUGUGAAGAAGGCCUUCGGGUUGUAAAGCACUUUCAGCGAGGAGGAAAGGUCAGUAAGUAAUAUUUGCUGGCUGUGACGUUACUCGCAGAAGAAGCACCGGCUAAUUUAGUGCCAGCAGCCGCGGUAAUACUAAAGGUGCAAGCGUUAAUCGGAAUUACUGGGCGUAAAGCGCGCGUAGGUGGUUUGUUAAGUUGGAUGUGAAAGCCCAGGGCUCAACCUUGGAACUGCAUUCAAAACUGACUCACUAGAGUACGAGAGAGGUUAGUGGAAUUUCCUGUGUAGCGGUGAAAUGCGUAGAGAUGGGAAGGAACACCAGUGGCGAAGCGACUGACUGGCUCGAUACUGACACUGAGGUGCGAA